GCUUCUUUUUCCCCGGAGCUUGCUCCACCGGAAAAAGAAGAGUGGCGAACGGGUGAGUAACACGUGGGUAACCUGCCCAUCAGAAGGGGAUAACACUUGGAAACAGGUGCUAAUACCGUAUAACAAUCGAAACCGCAUGGUUUUGAUUUGAAAGGCGCUUUCGGGUGUCGCUGAUGGAUGGACCCGCGGUGCAUUAGCUAGUUGGUGAGGUAACGGCUCACCAAGGCCACGAUGCAUAGCCGACCUGAGAGGGUGAUCGGCCACAUUGGGACUGAGACACGGCCCAAACUCCUACGGGAGGCAGCAGUAGGGAAUCUUCGGCAAUGGACGAAAGUCUGACCGAGCAACGCCGCGUGAGUGAAGAAGGUUUUCGGAUCGUAAAACUCUGUUGUUAGAGAAGAACAAGGAUGAGAGUAACUGUUCAUCCCUUGACGGUAUCUAACCAGAAAGCCACGGCUAACUACGUGCCAGCAGCCGCGGUAAUACGUAGGUGGCAAGCGUUGUCCGGAUUUAUUGGGCGUAAAGCGAGCGCAGGCGGUUUCUUAAGUCUGAUGUGAAAGCCCCCGGCUCAACCGGGGAGGGUCAUUGGAAACUGGGAGACUUGAGUGCAGAAGAGGAGAGUGGAAUUCCAUGUGUAGCGGUGAAAUGCGUAGAUAUAUGGAGGAACACCAGUGGCGAAGGCGGCUCUCUGGUCUGUAACUGACGCUGAGGCUCGAAAGCGUGGGGAGCAAACAGGAUUAGAUACCCUGGUAGUCCACGCCGUAAACGAUGAGUGCUAAGUGUUGGAGGGUUUCCGCCCUUCAGUGCUGCAGCUAACGCAUUAAGCACUCCGCCUGGGGAGUACGACCGCAAGGUUGAAACUCAAAGGAAUUGACGGGGGCCCGCACAAGCGGUGGAGCAUGUGGUUUAAUUCGAAGCAACGCGAAGAACCUUACCAGGUCUUGACAUCCUUUGACCACUCUAGAGAUAGAGCUUCCCCUUCGGGGGCAAAGUGACAGGUGGUGCAUGGUUGUCGUCAGCUCGUGUCGUGAGAUGUUGGGUUAAGUCCCGCAACGAGCGCAACCCUUAUUGUUAGUUGCCAUCAUUUAGUUGGGCACUCUAGCAAGACUGCCGGUGACAAACCGGAGGAAGGUGGGGAUGACGUCAAAUCAUCAUGCCCCUUAUGACCUGGGCUACACACGUGCUACAAUGGGAAGUACAACGAGUCGCGAAGUCGCGAGGCUAAGCUAAUCUCUUAAAGCUUCUCUCAGUUCGGAUUGUAGGCUGCAACUCGCCUACAUGAAGCCGGAAUCGCUAGUAAUCGCGGAUCAGCACGCCGCGGUGAAUACGUUCCCGGGCCUUGUACACACCGCCCGUCACACCACGAGAGUUUUAACACCCGAAGUCGGUGAGGAACCUUUUGAGCCAGC
RNAcentral lists this ribosomal RNA (1409 nucleotides) under Enterococcus durans. Its description in RNAcentral is "bacterial SSU rRNA". It matches the Rfam family "Bacterial small subunit ribosomal RNA". The record is from RNAcentral. Lineage: Bacteria; Bacillati; Bacillota; Bacilli; Lactobacillales; Enterococcaceae.